GAGGACCUCCCAGAGGAGGUGAAGGAGUGAGCUCUGCCACAGUCUUUGGGUAGGAACAGCUGGUGAAAGCCUCUGGGAUGGAAGCCCCGCUGAUAAGGAAACUGAGGUUCAAACACCAAAUGAGGAGCAAAGCAUGGACCAGCACUCCAGCCAGUGGGCUCCACAGCCAGCCAACUGCAGCCUGGCUCACCCCACAGUCCAGCACACAGCACUUCUGAGUGCAAGCCUGCCUUCCCUCAGGACAGCCUCCCAAUUCUACUCUCUGCCCUUAUAGCUUUCCUCUCCCUCCACCAACUUUCAUGUGAACAGUGGAAUAAUCACCACAGGGUAAAAGCACAAUUCACAAGACUAGGAGAAAAGCCUAGGAGCACCUGAGAAUGUAGGCCUUUCACAAGAGGACCACGCACACAGCACUUUGUGCUCAGAGUGCUCAUUACCAAAGCAGACUAGGAUGCUUCCAGCUGCAGGAAAUCAGAAAACCCAAAGUCAAACUGGCAUAAACCAUGGGAAAAUUUAUUAUCACACAGAACUAUGAGAUGAGAGGCAGAGGGAGAUCCAGGCCUGGAUCCUGUGACCAGCAGGUGAGUGCCAGAACCAAAAAUGCAGGUUCCUUCUGUCUUUCUGCUCUGACAACUUCAGUGUCAGACUCACCUCAAGACUGAUCCCCUCAAGGUCACAGAAUGGCUGCCAGUGGAAAUACGGUCACAGCUAUGCUUCAUUAUUUGCUCUCUCAUUCUGGAUGUGAAGGAAAAUGCUUCCCCCUCCCCCCUCAAAAAAUAAAGUCUUUCCUUAUGACUGAGGCAACCCAGAUCAUGUGGAUACCUCUAGACCAUAAACAGUCACCACGGGAAAACCAUGCUCUCACCUACUUAAAGAAUGGAUUCUCAUGGCUAAGGGUGAAGGGGAAGUAACCGAAGAAAAUGUGCAUCUCGUUAUUAGGAAAGACAAAGGAAAUGGAUGCUGAUAGGCAGCCAGCACUGUCCACUAUUCCUGUGUUUCUCAAACUUUAAUGCACAUGAACUCCCAGAGGAUCUCACUACAACACAGAUCCGGAUUUGGUAGGUCUGAGAUAGAUAGGGCCCAAGAUUCUACAUCUUCAAUAAGCUUCCAGAUAAUGAUUAUGCUCCUGGUCCCUCUCUGCACACAGGAGCUAUUCAACAAUGGUUUGUGUGUCCCUUACCUAAAGAGCACACCUCCCCUAGUGACCAGGGUGUCUGGCCGCCUCCUGAGAGCGUCAUGUCAUGUACUUUUGUCAGGCUGGUUGCCAGCUGCGCUCUGAACAUUAGAGGCCAGCACACUCCUCUCAGCUGUAAUGGCACGGAUAUUGAAUAGUGCAGGUGACAAAUUACCCUGAGGCAUCCAGAAACUAAGAAGCUUUUUAAACAAAAACAUUUGGCAAAAUAAUCAAUGGUGAUAAAUAAUAUACUCUAGCUCUAAUGGCAAGCUGUUAUAAAUCUCUUGCAUUUUAUCACCCCAUCUAUGUUAAGAGUUUCUACCCCAAGAAUAAGGAAGAUACUCUUCUUCAGAGACUGUCCUUCAGUAGCACUACCCCAAUGGGACACCAUGCCAAGUACAGGGGGAGAAGGUGACCACUCCUCGGGAAUAGAGUGUAGGCUCUAGAGUCUGGGAUGAAGUGGAGCCAUGGGUUAGUCUGGCUCAUACUGAAGAAGAUGUAAAGGGCAAUAGGUAUCAAGUGAAUAUACAGGAAAUAAGUAGCAGCAUCUCCUAGAUUUUCCACAGGAUCUCAAUACCACUGACCCCACCAAGAGGUGUCAUUCCUCCACCACCUCUUCUAUCCUCUCCUGGCAAUUUCCUUGGCUUCAGAAUAACAAGGUGUUCCCCAACAUUGAAUGGAUUUCCCAGAGAAAAUGUAAUGCUACAGGAAAUGCAUAGGAUCGGAAAUUCCAGGGCCCAGGUCUCAACAUCAGCUUUGUCAUUUUACCAACCAACUAUGUGAGUAAACAAGUAUUUCCUGAGUCUUGGUUUGCUUAUCUAAAAAAAUAAAAGAGAAUGAGGAUAAUC
RNAcentral lists this long non-coding RNA (2022 nucleotides) under Homo sapiens (human). RNAcentral describes it as "HSALNT0304882". The record is from RNAcentral. Lineage: Eukaryota; Metazoa; Chordata; Mammalia; Primates; Hominidae.